AACGAACGCUGGCGGCAGGCCUAACACAUGCAAGUCGAGCGCUCUCUUCGGAGGGAGCGGCGGACGGGUGAGUAACGCGUGGGAAUAUGCCCUUCUCUAAGGAAUAGCCACUGGAAACGGUGAGUAAUACCGUAUACGCCUUCGGGGAAAGAUUUAUCGGAGAAGGAUUAGCCCGCGUUAGAUUAGAUAGUUGGUGGGUAACGGCCUACCAAGUCUACGAUCUAUAGCUGGUUUUAGAGGACGAUCAGCCACACUGGGACUGAGACACGGCCCAGACUCCUACGGGAGGCAGCAGUGGGGAAUCUUAGACAAUGGCAAAGCCUGAUCUAGCCAUGCCGCGUGAGUGAUGAAGGCCCUAGGGUCUAAAGCUCUUUCGCCAGGGAUGAUAAUGACAGUACCUGGUAAAACCCCGGUAACUCCGUGCCCAGCAGCCGCGGUA
This 439-nucleotide ribosomal RNA is filed under the name uncultured bacterium. RNAcentral's name for it is "bacterial SSU rRNA". It matches the Rfam family "Bacterial small subunit ribosomal RNA", at positions 29 to 522 of the family's 1533-position model. The record is from RNAcentral.